RNAcentral lists this ribosomal RNA (468 nucleotides) under uncultured bacterium. Its description in RNAcentral is "partial 16S ribosomal RNA". It matches the Rfam family "Bacterial small subunit ribosomal RNA", at positions 28 to 507 of the family's 1533-position model. The record is from RNAcentral.
GACGAUCGCUGGCGGCGUGCUUAACACAUGCAAGUCGAACGGAAAGGCCCUGCUUUUGUGGGGUGCUCGAGUGGCGAACGGGUGAGUAACACGUGAGUAACCUGCCCUUGACUUUGGGAUAACUUCAGGAAACUGGGGCUAAUACCGGAUAGGAGCUCCUGCUGCAUGGUGGGGGUUGGAAAGUUUCGGCGGUUGGGGAUGGACUCGCGGCUUAUCAGCUUGUUGGUGGGGUAGUGGCUUACCAAGGCUUUGACGGGUAGCCGGCCUGAGAGGGUGACCGGACACAUUGGGACUGAGAUACGGCCCAGACUCCUACGGGAGGCAGCAGUGGGGAAUAGUGCACAAUGGGCGGAAGCCUGAUGCAGCAACGCCGCGUGCGGGAUGACGGCCUUCGGGUUGUAAACCGCUUUCGCCUGUGACGAAGCGUGAGUGACGGUAAUGGGUAAAGAAGCACCGGCUAACUACGUG